CCACUGUCUCCCCACCGCUAAAGAAAGAAAGAAAAAAGAGCCAUCGAUAAAGACAUGCCCGACGUUCUUUGCCUCGUGCCUCCCUCUUACACCUCACACAUCACCAAAUCUUAUCCUUCCACUGGCUCCCCACCGCUACUGGAAAAGGAGAAGAAAAAUAAAACGCCAGCAAAAGGCCGGCGCGGACCUCCGCCACCUACCACACAACAGCCAGCUGCUGCCGUCCUCGGUGCUCCCGGCGGUCGGCGAAGGCGACCCUGGGCAUGCUGCAGCUGCUGCUCCGGAGGAACGCUUACCUGGAGCAGGAGCUCGACCUUCGCUUCCGCCUCUUCCGCUCCUGGGACUCCCCUUCGCACCAACGCCUCCGCCAUCGGUGCCGUCGUUGGCAACGCCGAUGCCGCAUCGGCGCCGCCGUCCUUCUCCGUGGGGACCGACCGCGUAGACCUCCCAAGUGCCGGGAGCACCGAAUCCGCGUCACCAACACCCCCAACUUCCUCACCGACGACGUCGCCGGCCUCGCCAUCUCCGUGCCAAGGAAGACCACGCAUGCUGACCGUUACGUGCGCGCCGGCUUGUGGAAGGCAAGAGUGACUACGCAGCCACCACACGGGGAAGAAUUACAACUGCGUGUGGCCGGCUGGUUCAAGGGACGUUCAUGGUGGGCGCGGCGGCUCGUGUGCCGGGGUAGGCUCGUGUGCCGGGGCAGUGGCGAUCUCGCGGACGGAUAGUAGAAAAAAAGUUUGCUUCUCUUGUUAGCUUCGGUUUCGUUUCGGAGUUGUCAGGAUUCGUUCGACUACAUCCGUUUCUCUUCUUCAUGGACUCGUUCUUCUUACUUGCGGGAUCUCAGUUGCAGGUGCCGAUGAUACCAGUGCAGGUGACGCAAUCGAGCUCAAGUGGGAGUUUGACGAGGACCUUGGUCGUUACUAUGUUUUGUUUCCUGAUGAUCAGUAGUGGAGUCCAGUUGGGACGAUCGAGGAUCUAGCAUUUGGGGUUAUCUUCUUUUCAUUUGGUUUUGACUGUAGUCGGUCUACAUGUGUAUUUUGGAUGAUGUAGAAUUACUUAAGUAUUGUGUGAAGUGGCGAUUGUAAGCCAACCCUCUUUAUCUCUUUCUUGUUCAUUACAUGGGAUUGUGCGAAGAUGACCCUUCUUGCGACAAAACCACAAUGCGGUUAUGCCUCUAAGUCGUGCCUCGACACGUGGUAGAUAUAGCCGCAUCGUGAGUGUUACAAGUUGGUAUCAGAGCCAUCCCCGACUUAGGAGCCCCCUGCUUGAUCGAAUCACUAACGUUGUUGAGUCUAGAACAAAAAUGUAUUGAGUCUUAGGAUUAUAUAUAUCAGAGAGUAGGAUUCUUUUUACUCCUUAGUCCCUUCGUCGAUCUGGUGAGGCCUCCUGAGUAAAUGUUUUGACUUUCCUUUCCUCAAAUUUGACGAAAAAAAUUAGGAUCACGCGGGUAUAUUGGAAUGGUUCCGGUAUUCUUGCGACAAGAACAUUGUUCUUGGUGCCUCCUGACAUUUAGGGGUUGUGGCAGUGUCCUGGGGAGUUGAGCUCCGAGGUGUUGUUGUCACAAUUUUAUUGUUGCUGUUCUGGAAUACCUGAGUUCGCCGACAUCGAAAAUCUCUUUUAAGCAGUUGUUGGUGAGAUAACCUCGACGCCACCCAGUACUAGGGCAGGAGUUCGGGAGUAUUGCCAUAACUCGUAUAACAAAU
This 1706-nucleotide ribosomal RNA is filed under the name Triticum aestivum (bread wheat). RNAcentral's name for it is "partial small subunit ribosomal RNA". The record is from RNAcentral. Lineage: Eukaryota; Viridiplantae; Streptophyta; Magnoliopsida; Poales; Poaceae.